Molecule: ribosomal RNA, 1528 nt
Filed under: Philomaoria sp. JM-2008
Lineage: Eukaryota; Metazoa; Arthropoda; Arachnida; Pseudoscorpiones; Cheliferidae
Description: SSU rRNA
Rfam family: Eukaryotic small subunit ribosomal RNA
Source: RNAcentral
UGCAUGUCUCAGUACUCGCCCUAGCAAGGCGAAACCGCGAAUGGCUCAUUAAAUCGGUCGUGGUUCCUUAGAUCGUACACUCUUACUUGGAUAACUGUGGUAAUUCUAGAGCUAAUACAUGCAACUGAGCCCUCGAGUGGCCCUGUGCUGCGCGAGGGUGCUUUUAUUAGACCAAGACCAAACGGGCUUGCCCGAUAGUCGGUGGUGACUCUGGAUAACUAUGGCGGAUCGCACGGUCUUCGCACCGGCGACGCAUCUUUCAAGUGUCCGCCUUAUCAACUGUCGAUGGUAGGUUAUGCGCCUACCAUGGUUGUAACGGGUAACGGGGAAUCAGGGUUCGAUUCCGGAGAGGGAGCCUGAGAAACGGCUACUACAUCCAAGGAAGGCAGCAGGCGCGCAAAUUACCCACUCCCGGCACGGGGAGGUAGUGACGAAAAAUAACAAUACGGGACUCUUACGAGGCUCCGUAAUUGGAAUGAGUACAGUCCAAACCCAAUAACGAGGACCUAUUAGAGGACAAGUCUGGUGCCAGCACCCGCGGUAACACCAGCUCUAAUAGCGUAUAUUAAAGUUGUUGCGGUUAAAAAGCUCGUAGUUGUAUCUCAGUCGUGUUUCCAGCGAUACGUUGCAAAGCGUUCAUCGCUGGGGCCGACAGCGGAUCGGCGGCCUUGGUUGGCCUUCAAAAGCUGACCAGGUUCCCCGAUAAUUUUACUUUGAAAAAAUUAGGGUGCUCAAAGCAGGCUUGUGCCUGGAUAUUGGUGCAUGGAAUAAUGGAAUAGGACCUCGGUUCUAUUUUGUUGGUUUUCGGAUCCCGAGGUAAUGAUUAAGAGGGACAGACGGGGGCAUUCGUAUGCGGCGCUAGAGGUGAAAUNNNNNNNNNNNNNNNUUGAAGGAAUUGACGGAAGCGCACCAUCAGGAGUGGAGCUUGCGGCUUAAUUUGACUCAACACGGGGAAACUUACCCGGCCCGGACACCGGAAGGAUUGACAGAUUAAUAGCUCUUUCUUGAUUCGGUGGAUAGUGGUGCAUGGCCGUUCUUAGUUCGUGGAGCGAUUUGUCUGGUUCAUUCCGAUAACGAACGAGACUACAUCCUACUAAAUAGACCCACGAUCCUUGGUAUCGUGAGCGGGUCUUCUUAGAGGGACGGGCGGCGUAUAGCCGCACGAAACGUAGCAAUAACAGGUCUGUGAUGCCCUUAGAUGUCCGGGGCCGCACGCGAGCUACACUGAAGGAAUCAGCAUGUGUCUACCCUAGCCCGAAAGGGCCGGGUAACCCUCUGAACCUCCUUCGUGCUUGGGAUAGGGGAUUGAAAUUAUUCCCCUUGAACGAGGAAUUCCUAGUAAGCGCGAGUCAUCAGCUCGCGUUGAUUACGUCCCUGCGCUUUGUACACACCGCCCGUCGCUGCUACCGAUUGAAUUAUUUAGUGAGAUCUUCGGACUGUUGUAGAGAGCGGCCUUGGCCACCCUCUGUGACGGAAAGAUGACCGAACUUGAUUAUUUAGAGGAAGCAAAAGUCGUAACAAGGUUGCC